Molecule: ribosomal RNA, 252 nt
Filed under: uncultured prokaryote
Description: partial 16S rRNA
Rfam family: Archaeal small subunit ribosomal RNA
Source: RNAcentral
ACCGGCAGCUCAAGUGGUGGCCAUUUUUAUUGGGCCUAAAGCGUUCGUAGCCGGUUUGAUAAGUCUCUGGUGAAAUCCCGCAGCUUAACUGUGGGACUUGCUGGAGAUACUAUUAGACUUGAGGUCGGGAGAGGUUAGGGGUACUCCCAGGGUACGGGUGAAAUCCUAUAAUCCUGGGAGGACCAACUGAGGCGAAGGCGUCGAACUGGAUCGAACCUGCCGGUGAUUAAAGAAAGCCAGGGGUGCGAACAG